Long non-coding RNA from Bombus impatiens (common eastern bumble bee), 1080 nucleotides. RefSeq lists it as uncharacterized. Lineage: Eukaryota; Metazoa; Arthropoda; Insecta; Hymenoptera; Apidae. The record is from RefSeq and is a predicted model, not a curated record. The transcript is spliced from 2 exons.
UUAAAAUGUGAAUACGAAUGAUCUUCCAAGUUUUAACCGUGAGUUAAUAUCUUUUGAUGAAUGCCGGUUGAGGUACCAGAAUCCAACAUUAAAAGUUUCCAUUUGAGAAAGUCAAGCAUCAAGAAGGAAUUCCUUUGUGGAAAAGUGAAUCGAAAAUGUGAUCAGCCUCAAAAUUCUUCAACUUUCUUAAACUUUCUAAACAAAAGGAACGUGAGUUAUAGCUUUCAACUAACUUCCUCGUAAUACUCCGUUCCCUUGAUCUUGCCUUCAUCAAAAUUAAACGUCGAAAUUGCAACUCCAGAAAGAUAUUUACUCCAGAAACAACUAUUUUCGCUUUCGAUCUAUCGGAGAUAAUUUCACGAGUGCAGAUAAGAGAUCGAAUGACAAAAUGUAAUGCAACGCGGACAUGAAACAUAAAAAUCGUUGGAUAACGUCGCGGGAACACGAAAACUUCGUUUCGUUCGUGUCGAAGUGGUACUAAACGACAUUCUAUACAGCACAGCAAUCUGGCCAAUUAAUCGAAUAUAUUCAAAGUAGAAAAAUAGAGAAUCGAAUUCUUGUCGUAGUAUUUCUUCCGGCAAUUUUUAAUUCAGACACUCGAGUCGUUUAUUAUUUCAAUUUCCGAAUAAAUCUAUGAUCGAGUGGAAAUGUAUGGCGGAAGAAAUUGUUCGCCGACGAAAAUCAUCGCUCGAAGGUUUCGAGUCUCGCGAGGAUCUAGGACGACCCGGGUGGUGUCUUAAUAAAUUCGGAAGGUUUUGACACGGCGAGCUCUUUUUAAACGGAUCUCGAGCUACGAAUCACGGCCACGUAAUAAUUGUAACUUUUUACUCGCGCGGAAAGCAAUUUUAAUCCUUUCUAGCUCCCUCGUCGGUUACUUCGCUUUAAUCGUCCUUAUUUCGAACCCGAACUAUGAUAUAAAACUGUUUUAGAAGAAUAAAGAGAAAAAGAACGUGCCACGACGAUGCACGCUCGAAUGUUUGCUUCGUGCAGGUUCGAAUUAACCCUUCGAGCUAAGCAUGGUUUAAAACAUUUUCUUAAGCUUCAUUUUAAUACUUGCUGCUGUUUCUGUCGAUUUCAUUG